CACUUUCACUUUCGUUUCUGUGGAAAGACCGGUUCUCGGAGGCGUGAGCCGUCUCUGCAGGAUGAGUAUAAAUAACAGAUGAAGAUGCACUUCACAUUAACUGCACUACGCUGCUCUGAACCUUAAACAAAUCAUCAGCAUGGUCUUAUCUGAGGGGAGCGAUGAAGGUGAUGACGACGACGAUGAUGAAGAAGAUGAUGGAGGUCCUGGAGUAAGUGUCUGCUGCCAAGGGUAAACAACUGCUCCAGACCUUGAUGCAGCCAGUGUUUAAAAAGACCCAAUAGCACGCUGGAUCAAAAACAAAACUGUGUGCAAUUGCUGAUACGAGCCAGCAGCAGCCAAAGCAAUCACACAGCUUCAGUUGUGACGAGCAUCACAACCCAAGUACCUCCCGAGCCAUGGCGAACCCGACACGUAGACCACGACGACUCCAUGGAAAGCGAUGGAUCUCGCAACUUUACCACCACUCGGCUGUGCAGUGGCAGCACCAUCGCUUUUCUUCAGAGCGGCUCUGCUUUCCCCGUCUGUUUGUGCAACCCCGAAGAAGCCGCGGAGAGAAGAAUGAAAUGUUCACGGAGAGGUGAUCCCUCGAUGAGAGCUGCUGGUCCAGAGGUUGGAAGAUGUGAGGCAGUUUUUUUUUCUGCGAUCGCAAUCUUCCUCGAUCACCAUUGUGCCACCGAGCAACGCACAUGACUCCAACGCAGGACUGACUGAUCCUGCAAAAGGUCUACAGUAGUCAGGAAUCCAUUAAAAUACAAACAGACAAUGGGCUGGAUGGGCAUGUUGUUGAUGUACUAAUGGAUGCAUGUUGCUCACAUAUAUAUAGGGAGGUCAUGCCCUUUUUAAAGCCCAAGUGUAUUUGUUGUAAAGAUGUAUUCAGACUAUGGCUGCUUGGUCCAAAAAGCUCUCCAGUAAAUCUAGCAGAAGGUGUCUGGAGCAGCGGAUCAGGGUUGGAGGUAAAAGCCCACUGUCUUUCUUUCUUUAUUUUACCUCAUUUUGAUGCCACGUCAACGCCGCUCAGCCAUAGAGAGCGUGAUCACCGCGAGACGACACGCUCACCAGAAAAGGUUUCCCAGGCACACCGGUUCUGCAGGUUGUGCUGACCUGGUAGAAUCUACUGGUUCAGAUAUCUUACUAACGAUACACAAUAUGACGCACUGCUGAAUUUCACGCACAGGUGUUAUCGCAGUGCAGUUAAACAGUUACGCCAUAUAGGUAACGUACCUGUAACGAGACAUGGUCUCAUACAGAACAAGGUCCCGAUCAAAGGAUCUGUGAAGGUCUAGCCAGAAAUGAAGCCCAAUAGAUGUGACACAACAUCAGAGGCAAUCAUAUCCUAUUGAGCACCUAUAUCGUUUUCUUGGUUAUGUAGCGAGGGAAUUGUCAGUGAGUGAUCUGUUUAGAAAUGUCAUCUGCCUAAAUGUAUUGCUGUCUGAUAAGCUACACGGUAACUUCCCAAUUACAUGCUGUAAAAUAAACUAAACAAAACUUUGCUUGUGUGUGUGUUUGUGUUUACCUUAUGGAGGAGAAAGCUAGAAGUGAACAAAAAAAAAGUGUUUUGGCCAUUCAAACUGGGCUAAAUUAGAGAAAGCACAAUUUCUGAGAAAUCACUGUUCAUAAUUUAGGAUUACAAGAAAUUUAAGAUGAUAUAAAAUGUGUAUAUUAUUUUUGAUAUUUUAGUAUUUUUAAAUACCAUUAUAUUAAUAUUCUGAAUUAGCUUUUAUUUUUUAUCUUUUCAGUUUUCAUUAUAAUUUUAGUUUAGGAUUGAGUUAGUGAUUAUUUCUAUAGCUUUAAUUAAUUUUUAUUUCAGUUUUAGUUAACAAGAACGAUGUUUAUAUACUGUUAAUUAUUAAACAUAAUGAAAAAAAUAAAAUUUCAACUAAUACUAGUACAUUAUAUAAAUUAAACAGAAGUUGAUUGUUAAUAUUAACUAAUGUUUCUGGACAUAUCUUAAACAUGUAGUGUUUCAUUCUGAAAAAUGAAAUAUAUCACCAUUUAUAUAAAUUGUUUGCAUUUUUUUUCAUCUCAGUUUCUUAUUAAUUCAAAUUUAAAAGGCUUUCUCAAUUCCUCAAAAAAUAGAUAGAUGGAUAUAUAGAUAAACAGAAAGAUUUGUGUGUGCGAGUCAUGAUGAUUGGCAACGUUUUGAAGAUUGUAGUGAAAACGAAAAUGAAAGGAAAUGUUAAUUUCAGUGUAACACUCAUGAACAUUUUAUGUUUUUUCCCUCACGUGCUCUGUGACUUAUUUCCUCCUGUGUUUAGUUAUGUCGUUAUGUUUAGGUGUGUCUUGUUUGGCGUCUUCAUUUGCCAGUGUACAUAAGUCCUAGUCUGUUCAAUUAGUUUUUGUCCAGUGUUAACGUUGCUUGUGUAUCCUUCCUGACUUGAGUUAAUUAAAGACUGUUUACUGUUCCAUAAUCCAUAUUCUUUUUACUAAGAUUAAAAUAAAAAAUACCUUAGUUUUAGUUGAAUGUAAUGAAAAGUAUUGUAAGAAGGAUUUUCUGUAGAUAAAUUAAACUCAAUCUAUUUUAAAAUUCUGUUUUAAUUUAAUAUUUAGAUUUUUUUUCAUACUGAGAAAUUAAAAGUACUACAAACUAUACUCAUUUUAUUUCAUUUAAACUUUAAAACAAAUUCAAUUUCAUUUUAUUUAAAUAAAACGCACAUGAGAAAUGUCUUGUUAGCAGAAUUUUAAUCAAUGAUGAUUUGAAUGAAGAUAAAUACCAUUAGGGACAUACAAAAGCCAUUUGUGUGAAUACUAACAAAGUGUAUGCAUGCGCUUUUCACUAAAAUCAUCACACAUUUUUCUAGUUUUUAGUGUUGCACUGUAUAUAUACAGUAUGAAUUAUCCAAAUGAAGAAAUAUUUUUGGAAAGUAAGAAGUAUAUUUUUUUCCCCUAAGAUGUUUCAAGUCUCCAGACAUAUAUUAUUUCUUCUGUUAAUGUUUUCUUUAUCUUUCAUCAUUUAGAGUGAAGUCAUACCAGGAUGUUUGCUGAGGCCACCGCCGAUCUAACGUUUCCCGAUUGGCUGCUGCAGGUCACCAUAUGCUUGUGAUUUUUUUUAGGGAGGUGUCAACAGUUUCUAGAAAGAAUAAAUAAAGAACAAAGAUCUCCUUUCUGUGAGGUUGCACUGCUCUGAACUUUUCAACAAACCCUCAGCAUGAUCAUAGCAGAGGGGAGUGAUGAAGAGGAGGAGGACGAUGACGACGAUGAAGAAGAAGUUGCAAUAAGCUGCAAUAAGAGUCUGUUGCCAAGGGUAGACUGGCAGUCAGUAGUAUACCAGCUUCUGUUUGCUUGUGUUGUGGUUGGUGUCGCAACUCAAAGCGACUUCUGUACGUCAUGUACGUAAGCUGACUCUUUAAAGAGAACGUUGGAUCUGUGCGAUUCUUCAGAAUGUCUGCAACAUUGAAGAAACAAUGGAAAGCAGAAGAAAAAUGUACAGUCGUGACCUGAUGUAGGUUACGGUGCAGUUUGCAUUAAUUAAAUGCAUGUUAUUUUCACAAGGGAUGCACUCUUAAAAAUAAGGGUUCCUUACCGGUAUCAACAGUUCACCUUCCUUUUUUCAUCUUUCUUUGCAAGAACAUUCUUGAAAAACAGGUCACUGAAAGGUUUCUUCUGGAAACAAAACUGGUUCUUCUGUCAUUGUUGGAAAACCCCUCGUUUGCAACCUUUAUUUUUAAGAGUGUCGGGUUCACAGACAGCUUGUGCUGGAGGUUGAACCAAUCUUACUAACACUCAAUGUAACAUAUACUCAAUGUGCUAAACUUGUCCCCUAACAAGUUAUAUGUUGUAGGUUACCAGUUAUAAGUUGCAAGUUGUUAGCUCUAAGCAGCAAGUUGCAAAUUGUGUAUAUCACAGUUUUAUGUAAAUCAUGUUGUUUAAUCAAUAUGUAUUGCAUUAUUUUACUGUCAAGUGUCCAUAUGUGGCAUUUUGUAUGUUUGUGCACGAACUUGGAUUAAUUGAUUAAUCCUACUUUGUCUGAAUAUGGGCUUCAAAUAAAGGACUUGGUUAUGUGGCGGGGGGUCAUUAGCAAAUGAUCGUUCAGUUAUACAGAUUUUCUUCGUGUUGUGAAUGGUUUGCUUUCUAAUGAGCUACGUGUUGAACUUCCCCCCCCAAAUAAAAUAAAAAUAUAUAUUGUAAACUGUCAA
Molecule: long non-coding RNA, 4136 nt
Organism: Puntigrus tetrazona (Sumatra barb)
Lineage: Eukaryota; Metazoa; Chordata; Actinopteri; Cypriniformes; Cyprinidae
Exons: 3
Source: RefSeq, a predicted model, not a curated record